GACGAACGCUGGCGGCGUGCUUAACACACGCAAGUCGAACGGAAAGGCCCUGCUUUUGUGGGGUGCUCGAGUGGCGAACGGGUGAGUCACACGUGAGUAACCUGCCCUUGACUUUGGGAUAACUUCAGGAAACUGGGGCUAAUACCGGAUAGGAGCUCCUGCUGCAUGGUGGGGGUUGGAAAGUUUCGGCGGUUGGGGAUGGACUCGCGGCUUAUCAGCUUGUUGGUGGGGUAGUGGCUUACCAAGGCUUUGACGGGUAGCCGGCCUGAGAGGGUGACCGGCCACAUUGGGACUGAGAUACGGCCCAGACUCCUACGGGAGGCAGCAGUGGGGAAUAUUGCACAAUGGGCGGAAGCCUGAUGCAGCAACGCCGCGUGCGGGAUGACGGCCUUCGGGUUGUAAACCGCUUUCGCCUGUGACGAAGCGUGAGUGACGGUAAUGGGUAAAGAAGCACCGGCUAACUACGUG
Molecule: ribosomal RNA, 468 nt
Filed under: uncultured bacterium
Lineage: Bacteria
Description: partial 16S ribosomal RNA
Rfam family: Bacterial small subunit ribosomal RNA
Source: RNAcentral